Molecule: ribosomal RNA, 468 nt
Filed under: uncultured bacterium
Lineage: Bacteria
Description: partial 16S ribosomal RNA
Rfam family: Bacterial small subunit ribosomal RNA
Source: RNAcentral
GACGAACGCUGGCGGCGUGCUUAACACAUGCAAGUCGAACGGAAAGGCCCUGCUUUUGUGGGGUGCUCGAGUGGCGAACGGGUGAGUAACACGUGAGUAACCUGCCCUUGACUUUGGGAUAACUUCAGGAAACUGGGGCUAAUACCGGAUAGGAGCUCCUGCUGCAUGGUGGGGGUUGAAAAGUUUCGGCGGUUUGGGAUGGACUCGCGGCUUAUCAGCUUGUUGGUGGGGUAGUGGCUUACCAAGGCUUUGACGGGUAGCCGGCCUGAGAGGGUGACCGGCCACAUUGGGACUGAGAUACGGCCCAGACUCCUACGGGAGGCAGCAGUGGGGAAUAUUGCACAAUGGGCGGAAGCCUGAUGCAGCAACGCCGCGUGCGGGAUGACGGCCUUCGGGUUGUAAACCGCUUUCGCCUGUGACGAAGCGUGAGUGACGGUAAUGGGUAAAGAAGCACCGGCUAACUACGUG